RNAcentral lists this transfer RNA (73 nucleotides) under Candidatus Entotheonella factor. RNAcentral's name for it is "Candidatus Entotheonella sp. TSY1 tRNA". It matches the Rfam family "tRNA". Rfam says of the family: Transfer RNA (tRNA) molecules are approximately 80 nucleotides in length. Their secondary structure includes four short double-helical elements and three loops (D, anti-codon, and T loops). The record is from Rfam by way of RNAcentral. Lineage: Bacteria; Pseudomonadati; Candidatus Tectimicrobiota; Candidatus Entotheonellia; Candidatus Entotheonellales; Candidatus Entotheonellaceae.
CGGCGUGUAGCUCAGCGGUGAGAGCGGCGUCCUUAUAAGACGCGGGCCGAAGGUUCGAUUCCUUCCACGCCGA